CCAAUAGCGUAUAUUAAAGUUGUUGCAGUUAAAAAGCUCGUAGUUGAAUUUCGGGAUCAAUAUAUUGGUCAUGCUUAGGUAUGUACUGGUAUUAUUGAUUUCUCCCUUCUGAAGAACCAUAAUGUCAUUAAUUUGAUGUCAUGGGGAAUCAGGACUGUUACUUUGAAAAAAUUAGAGUGUUUAAAGCAGGCUUUCGCUUGAAUACAUUAGCAUGGAAUAAUGAAAUAGGACGUUUGAUUCUAUUUUGUUGGUUUCUAGGAUCGACGUAAUGAUUAAUAGGGAUAGUUGGGGGCAUUAGUAUUAAAUUGUCAGAGGUGAAAUUCUUGGAUUUAUUGAAGACUAACUACUGCGAAAGCAUUUGCCAAGGAUGUUUUCAUUAAUCAAGAACGAAAGUUAGGGGAUCGAAGACGAUCAGAUACCGUCGUAGUCUUAACCAUAAACUAUGCCGACUAGGGAUCGGAUGAUGUUAAUUUUUUAAUGACUCAUUCGGCGCCUUACG
RNAcentral lists this ribosomal RNA (499 nucleotides) under uncultured Glomeromycotina. Its description in RNAcentral is "partial small subunit ribosomal RNA". It matches the Rfam family "Eukaryotic small subunit ribosomal RNA", at positions 591 to 1092 of the family's 1831-position model. Lineage: Eukaryota; Fungi; Glomeromycota. The record is from RNAcentral.